RNAcentral lists this unclassified non-coding RNA (931 nucleotides) under Hevea brasiliensis (rubber tree). The record is from RNAcentral. Lineage: Eukaryota; Viridiplantae; Streptophyta; Magnoliopsida; Malpighiales; Euphorbiaceae.
AAUUUUACAAAGGUGAAAAAUAAAGACUUAAAUUAUAAAUUUUAUACCAUACAUUACAACCAAGAUCCCACUAUUGAUCCCUCCCUCCUUUCCUUUUUCAAUCUUUCACAUUAUAUAUAUCACCUCUCCAUAAACACAAAACACUCCUCUUUUUUCUCACCUUCAAAAGCCUGAACCAAUUACACAUGAAAUAAUAUAUAAUUUUGCAACCACCAAUAUGGCCAAAAACCAGAAACUAAUAGUUGAAGUUGUGGAUGCUCGCAGUCUUCUACCCAAAGACGGCCAUGGCACCUCCAGUCCUUACGUUACCAUUGACUUCUAUGGGCAGCGCAAACGCACAAAGACAGCUAUACGUGACCUCAACCCUACAUGGAAUGAGGUGCUUGAGUUCAACGUUGGUAAACCAUCCAAUGUGUUUGAUGACACUCUUGAGCUUGAUGUUUACCACGAUAAAAAUUAUGGGCCAACUAGAAGGAAUCUUCAUCUUGGAAAAAUCAGGUUCAGUUCCACCCAGUUUGUGAGGAAGGGCGAAGAGGCCUUGAUAUAUUACAGUCUGGAGAAAAAAUCCUUCUUUAGUUGGACUUGGGUACAGGGAGAAAUUGGGUUGAAGAUUUAUUACCAGGAUCAAGUGAUACCGCCGCCGCCGCCUCCACCACCUGCUCCAGCAGAUGAACCGAAGGCUGAUUCAAAUGCAGACUCACCACCACCAGCAGAACCAGUAACAGAAAAGCCACCAGAAUCCGACCCCAAACAACCGGAAGAGGGCGAAAAGUCAAAAGCGGCAGCGGAGGCCAUAAAAGAGCCUGAUAAAGAACCACCAGCUGAGCAGCCUGCAGCUGGUGAUGCCAAGCCUAAUGAAGAGUCACCAGCGGAAGCUGCUCCACCAUCUGCAGGUAAUGCACCAGCACCUAUUCAAGUUGAAAAACCACCA